AUUGAACGCUGGCGGCAGGCCUAACACAUGCAAGUCGAACGAGUGGCGGACGGGUGAGUCAUGUCUGGGAAACUGCCUGAUGGAGGGGGAUAACUACUGGAAACGGUAGCUAAUACCGCAUACCAUCAGAUGUGCCCAGAUGGGAUUAGCUUGUUGGUGGGGUAACGGCUCACCAAGGCGACGAUCCCUAGCUGGUCUGAGAGGAUGACGCGCCACUCAGGAACUUGGACACGGUCCAGUCUCCGACGGGAGGCAGCAGUGGGGAAUAUUGCACAAGGGGCGCAAGCCUGAUGCAGCCAUGCCGCGUGUAUGAAGAAGGCCUUCGGGUUGUAAAGUACUUUCAGCGUGGAGGCGUUACCCGCAGAAGAAGCACCGGCUAACUCCGUGCCAGCCGCCGCGGUAAUAC
RNAcentral lists this ribosomal RNA (406 nucleotides) under uncultured bacterium. RNAcentral describes it as "partial 16S ribosomal RNA". It matches the Rfam family "Bacterial small subunit ribosomal RNA", at positions 30 to 526 of the family's 1533-position model. The record is from RNAcentral.